RNAcentral lists this ribosomal RNA (498 nucleotides) under uncultured bacterium. RNAcentral's name for it is "partial 16S ribosomal RNA". It matches the Rfam family "Bacterial small subunit ribosomal RNA", at positions 28 to 507 of the family's 1533-position model. The record is from RNAcentral.
GAUGAACGCUGGCGGCGUGCCUAAUACAUGCAAGUCGAGCGAACUUUUGGGAGCUUGCUCCCAAAAGUUAGCGGCGGACGGGUGAGUCACACGUGGGUAACCUGCCUGUAAGACUGGGAUAACUUCGGGAAACCGGAGCUAAUACCGGAUAACAUUGAAGACUACAUGGCCUUCAAUUAAAAGGUGGCUUUUAGCUACCACUUCCAGAUGGACCCGCGGCGCAUUAGCUAGUUGGUGGGGUAACGGCGCACCAAGGCGACGAUGCGUAGCCGACCUGGGAGGGUGGUCGGCCACACUGGGACUGGGACAGGGCCCAGACGCCUGCGGGAGGCAGCAGUAGCGUAUCUUCCGCAAUGGACGAAAGUCUGACGGAGCAACGCCGCGUGAGCGGAGGAGGCCUUCGGGUCGUAAUGCUCGGUUGUUAGUGGAGAACAAGUAUCGUUCGAAUAGGGCGUUACCUUGACGGUACCUAACCAGAAAGCCACGGCUAACUACGUG